UGACAAAGGUGUUCGGUAAUAUAUCACCGA
Molecule: small RNA, 30 nt
Filed under: Bombyx mori (domestic silkworm)
Lineage: Eukaryota; Metazoa; Arthropoda; Insecta; Lepidoptera; Bombycidae
Description: ovarian small RNA-31283
Source: RNAcentral